GCCUGGGUGGCGGAACUGGUAGACGCAAGGGACUUAAAAUCCCUCGGUCGUUUCGACCGUGCCGGUUCAACUCCGGCCCUAGGCACCA
RNAcentral lists this transfer RNA (88 nucleotides) under Thermodesulfobacteriota bacterium. RNAcentral's name for it is "tRNA-Leu". It matches the Rfam family "tRNA". Rfam says of the family: Transfer RNA (tRNA) molecules are approximately 80 nucleotides in length. Their secondary structure includes four short double-helical elements and three loops (D, anti-codon, and T loops). The record is from RNAcentral. Lineage: Bacteria; Pseudomonadati; Thermodesulfobacteriota.